RNAcentral lists this ribosomal RNA (378 nucleotides) under Triticum aestivum (bread wheat). Its description in RNAcentral is "partial small subunit ribosomal RNA". The record is from RNAcentral. Lineage: Eukaryota; Viridiplantae; Streptophyta; Magnoliopsida; Poales; Poaceae.
CCCCGUGCCAGAAAUUCUUUCUCCGUACCCGUCGAUUCGCGGGAGGCAGCCAUGGAGCACGGUUCGGUGGCGGAUUCGAGCGCGUCGACCUUCUCCAUCAUGGAGGAGGAUCACACCCUCGCCAACUCCGUCAGAUUUGUCCUCAACCAGGACCCAAGGGUAGCAUUUUGUGGAUAUAGCAUCCCUCAUCCUGCUGACAACAAAGUCAACAUAAGAGUUCAGACUACAGGAGAUCCAGCAAAGGAUGUAAUGAAAGAUGCUUUACAGGACUUGAUGGUGAUGGGCCAGCAUGUUAGAGGGACUUUUGACAAAGCAGUGGCUGAUUUUAAAUCAAAGAUGCCUGCAGAACAAAUGGAUGUUGAUUUGAAUCAGCAAUGA